GUGUUUUAUUACUUCUGUGUUAACUUGUAAUAUUUCUAGUGUUGCUAUUUCUACGUAAUUUUUACAUAUCUAGACAAAGUACAAUGGACUGGGUGCAAACAAUCCUUAGUUACUUUGACAGUACAGGCAUGUCAAAGUGAAGACAAUAUAAUGAUUAUAGCAACAUUCAAUCAACCAUUCUACACUCAAAUAUGAUUUGAAUGAUACUGCAACAUGACAAAAUGGAUCUUAAAACACUAGCAUCCACUGCUGUAAUAAGCGAGGGACAUCACUACAAAACAACAUCAGUACCUGAUUUAGUCAAGGACAACUUCUACAGCCAAAAUAAAAUAAUCCUUUAGCUAUCUGAUUUUAAUAAAAAUUCACAUAAAAAUGAUAGCUUGUUGUCUACAACUUCCUAGUGGGUAAAUUAUCCAAAUACAUUAGGUGAACCGUAAUUCUAGUAAUUUUUUGUAUUAAACUUUUAUCUCACCUUAAGUGUUAGCAUUUUAUGCAGAAACUGUAGCAGCUACAAUUUCUUAUUUAGUCUAAUUCAGUUAUUCAGGUAUUGUCAUUAUACAAGUGAAGAAAAAUGUCCAUAAAAUUUGGGUAAAAGCAAUUCUUAAAAAGAAUUAUUUAAAGCUAAAAAUAUUUGUAACUAAUGCAAUAUAAUUAUAUUUGUCAUAAUACAAACUAAUAAAAGUUAGGUUUUAAUAAACCCACUCUUUUUAACUUUUUAAAAGAAAUUCAAGAAUUAAGUCAAAUAAUUGUGUAUAAAUUUUCUAUUUAAACACAAACAAAUGGAGGCAAAAUAUAUGUAUUUUUUUUUUACAGUAAAAGUUGGGAUAAUAUCUGUUAAGAAAUAAAAAUCAAAUAAAAAGGCACUUAUAUUUCAACUGUCCAUGUUUAACAUUAGAUUAUAUUCUGAGGUUUCAAUUCUGGUCAAAUGAAAUGAAAUGUGUCUAUCUUCUAAAGAUUCUAUUUUCCUUUUAACUUAUCAACAGGUUAGGCUACUAUUUAUCCCAAUUUUCCAGAUUAAAAAUAACAGCAGCAUAAUUGAGAAGUUUAAAUAUUUUUAAGACCUUCCAGUUGAAAACAAAAUUGUAAUAGAAAAGUAGCAACAAAUCCUUCAACUAAUAGGACAAGAAGUUGAUGAAGCAGCAUUCAGUAAUUUUGUUUCACAUUGAGCAAAUGGGUGGUAACAACAACAGAAAGUUGUUUCUAAAAAUAACUUUUUUUUCCUAAUGGCUCUUCAAAGUGCUUAAAGGAAAUUGUGAAACUAACAACAUCAAUCAGGUUUAUUACUAUUUAUACAUCUAAAUGCAUGUCAUGGAGUAAAACGGACUGAAACAAAGGUAGGACAUGAUUCUGUACAGCUGUACUAAGCAGAUACAUAGGAACAUUUUUAAACAGAAAAUGUUUACUUUUACAACAUUCCCUGAACAAAAUCGUUUAAAAUUUUGAGGUAUGGGGCAAUAAUAUUUUUAUUUUUAUGCUAUUGUUACAACUGAAAUUGUUUAAAUUUGGACAGAGAAAAAAGACCAUUAAGAAUGGGUGUAAAAAAAUUAUGUCUUAAGAACUAGAUUAUGAAAAAAAGCUUUUUUUUUAAAGCUAAGCAAAAUAUAGUUAUCUAGCUUUUAGAUUUGAGUUCAAUAGAUAAUCCACCAGAAUCUACUUAGGCUUAAAAUAGAAAUGGUAUUAAAA
Molecule: long non-coding RNA, 1683 nt
Organism: Physella acuta
Lineage: Eukaryota; Metazoa; Mollusca; Gastropoda; Physidae
Source: RefSeq, a predicted model, not a curated record